UUUUAGCUUUCAGUUUUCCUGGAACCGCUGCCUCACCCGGAUCCAAUCCGGUUUGUUUGCCCCAUACGGCGACAUUUGGUCAAUAAAUUAUCAUUUUUACAAACGCCCCCCAGAUGGAAGUUCCAUCGCAACGUUCGCAAAAUCGAAUAAGCAUCGGGGAAUUAUUGCUGCUGAUUGCUGGUUGUUCGCUCAAUUAGCUGUCAAUUAAUUGAUAAGCGGAGGAAGUCCCGCCAAUGGGAUGGAAAUGAGAUACCAGUGCUGUCUUCCCUUUCCGAUAGGGGUAUAUGGUGCUAUACGACCUUAUCAAUUCGAUUGCCAACCGUUUGUUUAUUUGCUGUUUUUCCAAUUCACUUUGAAGAGUGCACAGCAGUUUCAAUUAAUUAAUUAACAGGAAGUUCUGAUUGAUUCUGAUUUUUCUAUGUGUGAAAGCUGCCUACAUUUGAAUAUGUAUGUUUGUGUUUGCUGCAGCCAACAAAAUGCUUGACAGAGUCUGCCAAUUUCUGGCUCCCUCGUCGCCUCGAACUACUCAACUACGAUACGCAUACGCACCGUUGCCCAAUUCCGAUUUCAUUUGCAAUUUAAGUCUGCCCGAUGAUUAAUAUCCAGCCCGUUCCAUACCAUCCCAUCCCGUUCCGUUCCGCUCUUGUCAUAGGCACUGCACUCCACUUCCACAGUCCCCGACCUCUCUCUAAAGUUGGCUUUAAUAAAUGUGCUGGAGACAUAGAAAUCUCUAGAGCAAACAUUU
Molecule: non-coding RNA, 745 nt
Organism: Drosophila suzukii
Lineage: Eukaryota; Metazoa; Arthropoda; Insecta; Diptera; Drosophilidae
Source: RefSeq, a predicted model, not a curated record